Molecule: ribosomal RNA, 253 nt
Filed under: uncultured bacterium
Lineage: Bacteria
Description: partial 16S ribosomal RNA
Rfam family: Bacterial small subunit ribosomal RNA
Source: RNAcentral
UACGUAGGGGGCAAGCGUUGUUCGGAAUUACUGGGCGUAAAGGGCGCGUAGGCGGCACGGCAAGUCAGGCGUGAAAGGCCUGGGCUCAACCGAGGAACUGCUUUUGAGACUGCCGAGCUAGAGUGCGGAAGGGGCAACUGGAAUUCCCAGUGUAGCGGUGAAAUGCGUAGAUAUUGGGAAGAACACCUGAGGCGAAGGCGGGUUGCUGGGCCGACACUGACGCUGAGGCGCGAAAGCCAGGGGAGCAAACGGG